GGUGCACUGACCACUUUGUGAUUCAUGACUGGGGUGAAGUCGUAACAAGGUAACCGUAGGGGAACCUGCGGUUGGAUCACCUCCUUACCUUAAAGAA
RNAcentral lists this ribosomal RNA (97 nucleotides) under Klebsiella pneumoniae. RNAcentral describes it as "partial 16S ribosomal RNA". The stretch from base 1 to 87 matches the Rfam family "Bacterial small subunit ribosomal RNA", at positions 1447 to 1533 of the family's 1533-position model. The record is from RNAcentral. Lineage: Bacteria; Pseudomonadati; Pseudomonadota; Gammaproteobacteria; Enterobacterales; Enterobacteriaceae.